CCUACGGGAGACAGCAGUGGGGAAUUUUGGACAAUGGGCGCAAGCCUGAUCCAGCAAUGCCGCGUGAGUGAAGAAGGCCUUCGGGUUGUAAAGCUCUUUUGUCAGGGAAGAAACGGUGGGGGCUAAUAUCCCUCGCUAAUGACGGUACCUGAAGAAUAAGCACCGGCUAACUACGUGCCAGCAGCCGCGGUAAUACGUAGGGUGCAAGCGUUAAUCGGAAUUACUGGGCGUAAAGCGUGCGCAGGCGGUUUUGUAAGUCUGUCGUGAAAGCCCCGGGCUCAACCUGGGAAUUGCGAUGGAGACUGCAAGGCUUGAAUCUGGCAGAGGGGGGUAGAAUUCCACGUGUAGCAGUGAAAUGCGUAGAGAUGUGGAGGAACACCGAUGGCGAAGGCAGCCCCCUGGGUCAAGAUUGACGCUCAUGCACGAAAGCGUGGGGAGCAAACAGGAUUAGAUACCCUGGUAGUCCACGCCCUAAACGAUGUCUACUAGUUGUUCGGUUUAAUUAACGUUAGGUAACGCAGACUACGACGUAGAGUAGACCGCCGUCGGGUAGGUACGGUCGCGAGAAGUUAAACGUAACGAAGAAGUAGUAGACGUGAGAGAGCGACGACGACGACGACGGAGGAGGAGG
Molecule: ribosomal RNA, 631 nt
Filed under: uncultured bacterium
Lineage: Bacteria
Description: bacterial SSU rRNA
Rfam family: Bacterial small subunit ribosomal RNA (bases 1-544)
Source: RNAcentral